CAGCAGCCGCGGUAAUACAGAGGGUGCAAGCGUUAAUCGGAAUUACUUGGCGUAAAGCGCGCGUAGGUGGUUUGUUAAGUUGGAUGUGAAAUCCCCGGGCUCAACCUGGGAACUGCAUCCAAAACUGGCAAGCUAGAGUAUGGUAGAGGGUGGUGGAAUUUCCUGUGUAGCGGUGAAAUGCGUAGAUAUAGGAAGGAACACCAGUGGCGAAGGCGACCACCUGGACUGAUACUGACACUGAGGUGCGAAAGCGUGGGGAGCAAACAGGAUUAGAGACCCCUGUAGUCCCUGUCUCUUAUAC
RNAcentral lists this ribosomal RNA (301 nucleotides) under uncultured bacterium. Its description in RNAcentral is "partial 16S ribosomal RNA". It matches the Rfam family "Bacterial small subunit ribosomal RNA", at positions 509 to 807 of the family's 1533-position model. The record is from RNAcentral.